UGAGGAGCUGAGGAGGAGGGUCCGGCUGAGGCGGUAGGAGCAGAAGUGGAGGAAAAGUCAGGAUAAUCUGAGUCUGGCUCAGGACUAGGGGAAUGUCUGGUGGUAUGUGUGGAGGUGGAAGACUUCCUAACCCAGGUCCCCUCUACCUUCCGAAACCCCAUCCUGUGUAGGGUCUCCGGACGCAUGCGAUCUGUCCAUCGCAAUGCGCGAG
This 211-nucleotide long non-coding RNA is filed under the name Phoenix dactylifera (date palm). RNAcentral's name for it is "long non-coding RNA (PDAC_LNC018012)". Lineage: Eukaryota; Viridiplantae; Streptophyta; Magnoliopsida; Arecales; Arecaceae. The record is from RNAcentral.